AUACCUUUCACGAUUUGUUGACUAAGAUAAAGUGUAAUAUCUAUUCUUGUCAGUUUAUUAUCUGAUAUAUAGACUAUAUGUUCACUUUGAUAUUAGAUUUAUUUUUAUGGGUAUGAAAUAUAAGUGUGUGACGUAGUAGCGUAC
This 144-nucleotide small nuclear RNA is filed under the name Zea mays. RNAcentral describes it as "U2 spliceosomal RNA". It matches the Rfam family "U2 spliceosomal RNA". From Rfam's summary of the family: U2 is a small nuclear RNA (snRNA) component of the spliceosome (involved in pre-mRNA splicing). Complementary binding between U2 snRNA (in an area lying towards the 5' end but 3' to hairpin I) and the branchpoint sequence (BPS) of the intron results the bulging out of an unpaired adenosine, on the BPS, which initiates a nucleophilic attack at the intronic 5' splice site, thus starting the first of two transesterification reactions that mediate splicing. Lineage: Eukaryota; Viridiplantae; Streptophyta; Magnoliopsida; Poales; Poaceae. The record is from Rfam by way of RNAcentral.